GGAUGUAAGGGCGAUCUGGCUGCGACAUCUGUCACCCCAUUGAUCGCCAAGGUUGAUUCGGCUGAUCUGGCUGGCUAGACGAGUGUCCCCUUCCUCCCUCACCGCUCCAUGUGCGUCCCUUCUGAAGCUGUGCACUCGGUGGAAGAGGGAGAUGUCCCAUGUAUAGAAGGAGUGUACCGAAGUCUUCAGUCCCGGGUAUACGAUAGCUGCGCUCCUCUGCUAGAACCUCCAAACAAGCUCAAGUACAUUGGUGCCCUGUUCCUGCCUCAAUCAAUGUGUGAUUCCAGGCUGUA
This 293-nucleotide small nuclear RNA is filed under the name Anolis carolinensis (green anole). RNAcentral's name for it is "7SK RNA". It matches the Rfam family "7SK RNA", at positions 1 to 251 of the family's 331-position model. From Rfam's summary of the family: 7SK was discovered as an abundant small nuclear RNA in the mid-70s but a possible function has only recently been suggested. Lineage: Eukaryota; Metazoa; Chordata; Lepidosauria; Squamata; Anolidae. The record is from Rfam by way of RNAcentral.